This is a microRNA precursor of Monodelphis domestica (gray short-tailed opossum), 64 nucleotides long. Lineage: Eukaryota; Metazoa; Chordata; Mammalia; Didelphimorphia; Didelphidae. The record is from Ensembl.
UAGUCUGAUAUUCCAUGUUUCUAGGGUAUCAAGAGACUUGGAGCAUAGAAUGUCAGGUCUAGAA